UAAAGAAUAUUUGGUCGGAUUCGUCGUCAAAUUUUAUCGCGUAACCGUGAACGGUGCGCACGAAAUAUUUCAUCGGAGUAUAACAGCACGUUACUAGUUCGAAAAUCUAGUGUAUCUGAAACAGUGCUGCGAUCAUUGGAAGUGAAAAUUGCAUAUAUGAAGAUGGCUUGACAAAGUAAUUUUUAUCAAUUCUUUUAUCACCAAUAUUUAGUGGUUAAUUUGUGAGUUCGAAAUCUAAUUUGUGGUAAUUUGUGGUUAAGUGGUUUCCGAGAAAUUUUCAAAAAACUGAGUCAAGCCAUCUUGAAACAUGAUUUUUCUUUAAAUGAAUCGGACAACGAUGAUAUAUACAUCAAUCGAAAGCUCUUAAUUUGUGGUUCACGAAAAUGUAAUUUUUAACGUCAUAAUCACUAGUGUUUGUACAGAAAUUUGUGUUUUAUUGUUCACGUAGUUCUACGUUUUGUUUAUUUGUUGAUGACGCUGCUGUCCGCUAGUGGCGUUGGCUGUUUGCGGUGUUUGUCACUGCUAUACUGAGCGUAGCUCAACAGGUGCAGAAUGGAUAUGUGUAAAUUUGUUGUCAAAAAGGAUACCGAACCAGUAGGAAUGGCAAACAAUAAUUAUCACUUUUUCAUCACCUAGAUUCGGAGA
Molecule: long non-coding RNA, 645 nt
Organism: Wyeomyia smithii (pitcher-plant mosquito)
Lineage: Eukaryota; Metazoa; Arthropoda; Insecta; Diptera; Culicidae
Exons: 3
Source: RefSeq, a predicted model, not a curated record